Molecule: long non-coding RNA, 1659 nt
Filed under: Junco hyemalis (dark-eyed junco)
Lineage: Eukaryota; Metazoa; Chordata; Aves; Passeriformes; Passerellidae
Description: lncRNA (ENSJHYG00000003009.1)
Source: RNAcentral
GGAAGAAGAGCAGCGCCCUCUCCCUCCCGGCUCUCAGAAAUCCCCAGCAGCACAGGGAGCGCUCCUGCGUGUCCUGCCCUGCUCCUGCUCCCUCUGCAGGUGUCAGGCUCCUGGAAAGUGCGAGAGCAGUGAGAAACCCGUGUUUGUGUAGUGUGAGGUGCCUCGCCCUGGUUUAGCCUUAACAAGAUCCCUCCUAUAUAUUUAAUGGCCUGAAUGUAAAAUUUACAGCUUGGAAUGUCCCAGCAGCAGAGGAAGCCUUCAGCACACAAGCUGCCUUUUGCAGGGCAGGAGAAGUGAAAUCCCCCGAGGUUUGGGAAGUCUGAGUGAUGUAGUUAUGGUUGGCACUUUGAAUAUCUGUGUAGACUACUUCAAAAUAAAUAUUUGCAGUUCUACUCUAACAUACAUCUGGGAGGGUGAGAACUAGCAUGUAUUAAUGUUCCUUCAAAUUAAUAAUUUUGAAAAUUUUACAGUGAAAUAAUUUUGCUGUUGCACAUAAUAAACAGAGGUUGCUGUGGGUGCAUACUGGGGAGAGACUCACCUGCCCUCUGUGGACACCAUUUCCUCCUGUUUUGAAAGGAACCAGCCCUUCUCACAUUUCAGCCCCUUUAAAGAAGGGAAAGCAAAGGUAAGGGAGCUCUUGCAAGACUUGCCAUUUUAAUCUCUUGUUUUGACAUUUGCAGCUUUUGUGUUGCUGAAACUCUCAUUCACCUGCUGCCUGUGUGUAUGAAGAGAACCAGACAGAAAAAUUCAUUUCAGUCCCCUGGGGGAAGUUGUGCAAGGUCUGAUUUCCCUCCCAGUGUCAUUGUGCCUCUGCUGUGUGCUUGAUGCCACUCAGGCCCUGCACAGAACACACUCAGGGGGGAAGGAGGCUGGAAUUGCACCCAGGAUAAACACAGAGAGAUGCCCUGGGAAUUGCUGUGUCCAUGGAAUGCCUGUGAUAGGGCCCAGAUCCCAGCCCAGGAGGUUCUUUCCCUUGGUCAGCACUGGAAACACAGAGGGGAAAGAUGAGAAAUCAAAGAAAAGGAGGGAAAAAAAAAAAGGACCGACCCAGUUCCUGUGUUGCCUGCUGCUGCUUUGCUGCUUUCUCCUUCACCAGGAGGCAGGAAAGAGCAAGGAAAGUGGGUUUGUCCCUUCAGCUUUUCUUGAGUAAGGAACAGUGGUCACACACAGCUUGUCUCCGAUGAGGGGAUGGGAAUUUUUCUGAAAUGUGCCCCUAUUUAGAUACAUUGUAUGGGAAGGGGGAGAAACACCUCCAGCUAAUCUGUGCAAACAAAUGAUUUAACCACUUAACCAGCUUAACUCCAGGGUUUGAGCUGUCCAAACUGAGCCCCUCCUUCAGAGGGGAUCCUGCACCAUUUGAGCAGAUGAUUUACUGCUUCUUCCCCUUUCCUCUUUCUCAGGAUUAAAAACCAAGAGAGGAAUUAGGCUUUUAUCUCAUUUGUUACUCUUGAGCACUGAGCAGAUUUUCCUCAGAGCUGUUGGCACAAAGUGCGUUUGUAACACACAGCGGAGGUGAAACUGCAGGGCUCAGACAGAGAGCUUGUGUGCAGAAUGGAAGCACGGGCUGCAGCCUCGGAGCUGCACUGUGAGGGGGCUUUCCAUGCCCCACCGGGACUUGCAGCUUUACUCUUUGUGAAAUAAACCAGAGCUGACUGGGCA